AUUGAACGCUGGCGACAUGCCUUACACAUGCAAGUCGAACGGCAGCACGGGUGCUUGCACCUGGUGGCGAGUGGCGAACGGGUGAGUAAUACAUCGGCACAUGUCCUGUAGUGGGGGAUAGCCCGGCGAAAGCCGGAUUAAUACCGCAUACGAUCUACGGCUGAAAGCGGGGGACCUUCGGGCCUCGCGCUAUCGGGUUGGCCGAUGGCUGAUUAGCUAGUUGGUGGGGUAAAGGCCUACCAAGGCGACGAUCAGUAGCUGGUCUGAGAGGACGACCAGUCACACUGGGACUGAGACACGGCCCAGACUCCUACGGGAGGCAGCAGUGGGGAAUUUUGGACAAUGGGCGAAAGCCUGAUCCAGCAAUGCCGCGUGUGUGAAGAAGGCCUUCGGGUUGUAAAGCACUUUUGUCCGGAAAGAAAUCCUUGGCCCUAAUACGGUCGGGGGAUGACGGUACCGGAAGAAUAAGCACCGGCUAACUACGUG
This 486-nucleotide ribosomal RNA is filed under the name uncultured bacterium. RNAcentral's name for it is "partial 16S ribosomal RNA". It matches the Rfam family "Bacterial small subunit ribosomal RNA", at positions 30 to 507 of the family's 1533-position model. The record is from RNAcentral.